This 465-nucleotide ribosomal RNA is filed under the name uncultured bacterium. Its description in RNAcentral is "SSU rRNA". It matches the Rfam family "Bacterial small subunit ribosomal RNA", at positions 26 to 518 of the family's 1533-position model. The record is from RNAcentral.
AGGACGAACGCUGGCGGCGUGCUUAACACAUGCAAGUCGAGCGGAAAGGCCCUUCGGGGUACUCGAGCGGCGAACGGGUGAGUAACACGUGAGCAACCUGCCCUUAGCUUCGGGAUAGCUCCGGGAAACCGGAAUUAAUACCGAAUAUGAUUUUUGCUGACAUCAGCAGAAGUGGAAAGUUUUUCGGCUAGGGAUGGACUCGCGGCCUAUCAGCUAGUUGGUGAGGUAACGGCCCACCAAGGCGACGACGGGUAGCCGGCCUGAGAGGGCGACCGGCCACACUGGGACUGAGACACGGCCCAGACUCCUACGGGAGGCAGCAGUGGGGAAUAUUGGACAAUGGGCGCAAGCCUGAUCCAGCCAUGCCGCGUGGAUGAUGAAGGCCUUAGGGUUGUAAAGUCCUUUAACGGGAGAUAAUGACGGUACCCGUAGAAUAAGCCCGGCUAACUUCGUGCCAGCAGCCGC